This 253-nucleotide ribosomal RNA is filed under the name uncultured bacterium. RNAcentral describes it as "partial 16S ribosomal RNA". It matches the Rfam family "Bacterial small subunit ribosomal RNA", at positions 524 to 776 of the family's 1533-position model. The record is from RNAcentral.
UACGUAGGGGGCGAGCGUUAUCCGGAUUUACUGGGCGUAAAGCGCGUUAAGGCGGUUGGCAAAGUUGGUUGUGAAAUCUCAGGGCUCAACCCUGAAAUUGCGACCAAUACUGGUCGACUAGAGUGCAAGAGGGGAAGGUGGAAUUCCCGGUGUAGUAGUGAAAUGCGUAGAUAUCGGGAGGAACACCAGUGGCGAAGGCGGCCUUCUGGCUUGCAACUGACGCUGUAGCGCGAAGGCGUGGGGAGCGAACCGG